Molecule: ribosomal RNA, 99 nt
Filed under: Meriones unguiculatus (Mongolian gerbil)
Lineage: Eukaryota; Metazoa; Chordata; Mammalia; Rodentia; Muridae
Source: RNAcentral
ACAGCCAUCCCACCCCGACCGCUUGUCUCUGAUCUCGGAAGCCAAGCAGGGUCUGGCUUGGUUAGUACAUGCAUGGGAGACUUCUGAGAAUACCAGGCU